UACGGGGGGGGCAAGCGUUGUUCGGAAUUACUGGGCGUAAAGGGCUCGUAGGCGGCCAACUAAGUCGGACGUGAAAUCCCCAGGCUCAACCUGGGAACUGCGUCCGAUACUGGAUGGCUUGAAUCCGGGAGAGGGAUGCAGAAUUCCAGGUGUAGCGGUGAAAUGCGUAGAUAUCGGGAGGAACACCAGUGGCGAAGGCGGUUACCUGGAGCUUUGCUGACGCUGAUGCGCGAAAGCGUGGGGAGCGAUCCGG
RNAcentral lists this ribosomal RNA (253 nucleotides) under uncultured bacterium. RNAcentral's name for it is "partial 16S ribosomal RNA". It matches the Rfam family "Bacterial small subunit ribosomal RNA", at positions 524 to 776 of the family's 1533-position model. The record is from RNAcentral.